Molecule: ribosomal RNA, 414 nt
Filed under: Globigerinoides ruber albus
Lineage: Eukaryota; Foraminifera; Rotaliida; Globigerinidae
Description: partial small subunit ribosomal RNA
Rfam family: Eukaryotic small subunit ribosomal RNA
Source: RNAcentral
AGAUAAACUCGGGGGACUGCUGACUAUAACCAUUUCUCAAAACAGAGGAAGGUUGCGGCAAUAACAGGUCUGUGAUGCCCUCAGAUGUCCCGGGCUGCACACGUGCUACAAUGAGUGGCGCAAUGUGCUAAUGUUUUAAGGGAUAAGCGUGCGGCCAGUAGAACGUCGGCAAUUGCCCUGGCGUCUUCUACCGCACGAUUAUCAGCCUUCCCUUAACAGGGCGGGCAACCUUUUCAAAAUACCGGUUUGAUGUUAAAGUAUAGAGUCGUUUUUUUUGGAUGGUGGUUUACGAACCAAUACCAUCCGCAACUGCUCGCGAGUUUGUGGUUCUGGUGACUCAUGGUGGGGACCGAUGUUUGUAAUUGUUUGUCGCGUGUCAACUAGGAAUGCCUUGUACUGUCGAUUCACUAAGUU